AUGAACGCUGGCGGCGUGUCUGAGGCAUGCAAGUCGAACGGUCCCGAUGCAAAUCGGGACAGUGGCAGACGGGUGAGUAACACAUUGGAACCUACCUUUGAGACGGGCAUAGCUUUCCGAAAGGAAAGAUAAUUCCCGAUGGUCUCCGAUGAUAUUUAUAUCUAUCGGAGUAAAGGUCAUUCGCAAGAAUGGUCACUCAAAGAGGGGCCUAUGUUCUAUCAGCUAGUUGGUGGGGUAAUGGCCUACCAAGGCAAUGACGGAUAGCGGGUGUGAGAGCACGACCCGCCUCACGGGGACUGAGACACUGCCCCGACUCCUACGGGAGGCUGCAGUCGAGAAUAUUCCUCAAUGGCCGAAAGGCUGAAGGAGCGACGCCGCGUGAAUGAUGAAGCCCUUCGGGGUGUAAAGUUCUUUUAUUAGGGACGAAUCAAUGACGGUACCUAAUGAAUAAGAGGUUGCUAACUCUGU
This 468-nucleotide ribosomal RNA is filed under the name uncultured bacterium. RNAcentral describes it as "bacterial SSU rRNA". It matches the Rfam family "Bacterial small subunit ribosomal RNA", at positions 29 to 506 of the family's 1533-position model. The record is from RNAcentral.